UGGCCAGCUGCAACUUGAACACUUGAACAAAUUAUUUCAGACAAUGUUAAUUAAAUCUGUACUUUCAUCGUAUUGAAGGAAAUAUUUAUUUCUGAUUCUGAUUAGGAAAAAUGGUUAACCCUUUGGCAUAAGCUAAUCCUGUGCACACCCAACUCUAACUUCAGUGCUCAUAGCAAGCCCCAGGUCUACUUCAUGGGUCACCCAGAAGCCCCAAAAGCCAGAGCAGAUAGAUAAAGGACACGUGGGAGGGGUCCUGGACCCUGCAAGCUGUCCUCCCUUGCCACUCCCAGGCCAACCUGAAACAAAUCAAAUCCUUCUAUGCUUUUCUUUUUAAUAUGCAUUUCAUUUCAAAGCGAAUUUGGGUAGUUCUGCUAAGAUGGUGCUGGAAACAGCGACUCAUUGACCCAACUAAUCAAAAAGAAAGUUGGUUGAUAAUAUCAGGGAUGGAGCUCUUCUAUGAAUUCCAAGUGUGGGCACAACUACUAGAGAAAAACUUGUAGCCAGGUGUGGUGGUGUGAUCCCAGGAACUCUGGUGGUGUGAUCCCAGAAACUCUGGAGGCUAAAGUAGGAGGAUGGCAAUUCAAGGCCAGCCUCAGCAACUUAGCCAGGCUCUGAGCAACUUAUUGCGACCCUGUCUCAAAACAAAAAAUAAAAAGGGCUGGGGAUGUGGCUUAGGAGUAAAGCCGC
Molecule: long non-coding RNA, 687 nt
Filed under: Marmota monax (woodchuck)
Lineage: Eukaryota; Metazoa; Chordata; Mammalia; Rodentia; Sciuridae
Source: RNAcentral